UCUAAUACCGGAUACGAGCCUCCUCCGCAUGGUGGGGGUUGGAAAGCUCCGGCGGUGCAGGAUGAGCCCGCGGCCUAUCAGCUUGUUGGUGAGGUAACGGCUCACCAAGGCGACGACGGG
Molecule: ribosomal RNA, 120 nt
Filed under: Streptomyces chromofuscus
Lineage: Bacteria; Bacillati; Actinomycetota; Actinomycetes; Kitasatosporales; Streptomycetaceae
Description: partial 16S rRNA
Rfam family: Bacterial small subunit ribosomal RNA
Source: RNAcentral